This 277-nucleotide ribosomal RNA is filed under the name uncultured bacterium. Its description in RNAcentral is "partial 16S ribosomal RNA". It matches the Rfam family "Bacterial small subunit ribosomal RNA", at positions 334 to 626 of the family's 1533-position model. The record is from RNAcentral.
UUUCCCUACGGGAGGCAGCAGUGGGGAAUAUUGGGCAAUGGGCGCAAGCCUGACCCAGCAAUGCCGCGUGAAGGAAGAAGGCUUUCGGGUUGUAAACUUCUUUUGACAGGGAAGAGCAGAAGACGGUACCUGUCGAAUAAGCCACGGCUAACUACGUGCCAGCAGCCGCGGUAAUACGUAGGUGGCAAGCGUUGUCCGGAUUUACUGGGUGUAAAGUGCGUGGAGCCGGGCUGACAAGUCAGAUGUGAAAUCCGGGGGGUCAACCCCCGACCUGCAU